RNAcentral lists this ribosomal RNA (438 nucleotides) under uncultured bacterium. RNAcentral's name for it is "partial 16S ribosomal RNA". It matches the Rfam family "Bacterial small subunit ribosomal RNA", at positions 339 to 795 of the family's 1533-position model. The record is from RNAcentral.
CUACGGGGUGCAGCAGUGAGGAAUAUUGCACAAUGGGGGGAACCCUGAUGCAGCAACGCCGCGUGGAGGAUGACGCAUUUCGGUGUGUAAACUCCUUUUAUAUGUCAAGAAAAUGACGGUAGCAUAUGAAUAAGCACCGGCUAACUCCGUGCCAGCAGCCGCGGUAAUACGGAGGGUGCAAGCGUUACUCGGAAUCACUGGGCGUAAAGGACGCGUAGGCGGGUUGGAAAGUCAGGUGUGAAAUCCUACAGCUUAACUGUAGAACUGCACUUGAAACUUCUAAUCUAGAGUAUGGGAGGGGGAGAUGGAAUUAGUGGUGUAGGGGUAAAAUCCGUAGAUAUCACUGGGAAUACCUAAAGCGAAGGCGAUCUCCUGGAACAUUACUGACGCUAAGGCGUGAAAGCGUGGGGAGCAAACAGGAUUAGAUACCCUUUAGUC